This is a long non-coding RNA of Capsicum annuum, 434 nucleotides long. RefSeq lists it as uncharacterized. The transcript has 2 exons. Lineage: Eukaryota; Viridiplantae; Streptophyta; Magnoliopsida; Solanales; Solanaceae. The record is from RefSeq and is a predicted model, not a curated record.
GGUAAAUUUUUCCCCUAAAGUCAUAUUCAAUUUCUUCCAAUCUUAUCUGACGAUUUUUUUUCAAAUUGCAAUAAUUUGGCACUGUUUCUUCCAAUCUUAUCAGAUGAUUCUAUUGAAAAAAAAAUAAGGGACCAUGUUGAAUUUUUCUCAAAAUUAUAAUCCAAAACCUAGUGUUUAUAUUGUCUUGUUCCUCGGUAUAUUGCCUUCAAAGCCCUCUCUGGGAGCUUUUUGUUUGCCCCAUAUUUAAUGAUGAGGUUUCAUCCACUAAUGUCACCAAGGAUCUUUAGCUCUAUGACACUUUGUAUUAAACCAAAUUAAUGUAUUGAAAGCAGUCAAAGAUUUAUUGAAUAUGUCAAGAAAAAUGCUCAAGUUUUUCAUUAACAUAUUCCACUGACAUAAAUUCUAUUUGAAUUGAGGUGUAUGACCUUCAUGUA